RNAcentral lists this long non-coding RNA (263 nucleotides) under Dermacentor andersoni. Its description in RNAcentral is "uncharacterized LOC126538278". The record is from RNAcentral. Lineage: Eukaryota; Metazoa; Arthropoda; Arachnida; Ixodida; Ixodidae.
GGAGACAAGGUUUCUUAGACAUGGCCAUGGCCCUCAGUGAAGAUGCCGAUGCCACAGGCAGUUCCUCCAGUGACCGUGAAAAGGUCCCCUGGGGCACAAGUAUAAUUUGGCACCCCUACCUUUCUCCUGCAGCUUUUCUGUCUACAUAGCUAACCAGCAGCAAGUUUAUCCUUGCAAGCGUUUCGGAUCAAGAACAACUUUCACCAGGAAGAAGUGCAAGACGAGUGAUUGAAGAAAAUAAAGUUGCUUCUGUGAUCUAAGAA